RNAcentral lists this long non-coding RNA (2696 nucleotides) under Heterocephalus glaber (naked mole-rat). RNAcentral's name for it is "lncRNA (ENSHGLG00100048394.1)". The record is from RNAcentral. Lineage: Eukaryota; Metazoa; Chordata; Mammalia; Rodentia; Bathyergidae.
AGUCACUGGGAACAUGCCUUUGGAGGGUAUAUCUCCUCUCUGGCUCUUUCACUUCUUUUCUGCUACCUGGAUGACAGGAAGUGAGCAACUUUCCAUGCCCUUCCACCAUGAUGUUUCUGCCUUGGAGCCAGCUAACCAUGGACUCAAACCUCUGAAACCAUGAGUCAAAAUAAACCUCUCCUCCUUUAAAUUGUUUUCUCAGGUAUUUGGUCAUAGGGACAAAAAGCUAAUAUAUUAAGCAAGGACCUUCAGGUAGAGAGGUUGUCCAGAAUUAUCGGGGUGGACCCAGUAUCAUCACAUGGGAUUUAGAAGCAAGACCUUUUCCAGCGGUAGACAGAGUGAGAUGCAACUGGAGAAGAGAGGCAGAGAGACUCGGUGUUGCUGACUUUGACGAUGGAGCCAGGAGGCCGUAAUCUGAGGGGCAGGGGCAGCCACUAGAAGCUGAGAAGGCCAGGAAACAGACUCUCCACUAAGGUUUACCAGAAGGGACAGCAGCCCUACCAUCACCUUGGCUGGGGCUCAGCGAGAUCCAAGUCGGACUUCUGACCUGUGGAACUGCAAGGAUUUUGCACACAGAACAGCCCAUAUGUGAUGCUCUAUGUAUAGAACACCAGGCGCAGCUGAUUCCAAAAUCAUCCUUAAUGCUUCUCACAUACGUCUUAUGAGGGCAUCGGAUCUGAAAGUGUCCCAAAUGCUUCUGCUGCCGAGCUUUCUAGUACUUGGACAUCGCUGGACAGCAGAGGAGAAUUGGUGCCCCAUAAUUUGAUGAUAAAACAUCUGGGCGCUGCCGAGAAUGCAAAGUCUUGGCAGCAGGGCACUGUGUGCAUCUUACCUCCUCGGUGACCCCACCACCCAGCACAUCAGAGACACUGCUAAAUAUUUUGAAAUUAACCCAGGUCUCGUGUCCUAAAAAACAUAUUCUGCUAAUGAACUCAUCACUGGAUUUAUCCACUCAGUGAAGUCAGUUCCCCUCAUAAUCCAACCACCUCUCUAGGAAGCUCUUCAUUCCAGUCAAGCAAACUGCCUUCCAGCUUAUUCAUCCACUGCAGAUAACUGGACAAGAAGCUUUACAAGGCUCUUCCCAACUCUCACAGGAGAUGAUUCCAUGAUUGUCUUCAUAAUCACUACCUGUUAUGGCUUGUGUCUAGAUGUCCCCCAGAACUUCAUGUGGUCAUAGAGGGUGCUUUUCAGAAGUGGCUGGAUCUAGAGUGUGAUCCUAGGACUAAGUGUGUGAUGCUGGGAUCAAGGAUGUGUGACUACUAAAUUAGCCCACUGAUUGGUUUAGCAUAGUUCUAAGAGCAGAUAAUGGGAAGGUCCACCCUGAGUGUGAGUGCUACCUGCUCUAAGGGUGUGUGGCCUGGAAAGAAUAUAAGGGACAGAAAGAGGGCUGCUGUGGUUGCUUGCUGCUUGAUGAUUACUACUUCUCUGCUUUGCUGCCUUCCUGCCUUCUGCCCACCAUGAACUGUUUCUCCUCUGUGAUGCCCCUCUGCUAUGCCACCCUGCCUAGAAGCCAGCCGACUAUGAACUGAAACCUCUACAAACUGUGAGGCAAAACAAACCUUUCCACCUUUAAGUGUCAAGUUUUUGUCUCAGCAAUGAGAAAAGUAAUUAAGACACCAUCUAAAGGCACUUGUCUUCUUGGGUCUUUGUUUCCUCAUCUGUCAAAUGUCCAGAUACUCUCCAGAGCUAUCUACCUCUAACUUCCAAGAUUUAUGAAAGGCAGAGUUAAAGCCCAAGGAUCCCUUGCAGCACUUAGUGGAAGAAACACAAGAAACCAGCCCAAAACCAUAACAGAAGGGUUUCCAUACACAAGCAGGACUUAUUUCCACAAGUCUUUCAGAAGUGCCCUAUCCACUAAGGAGAAUUUUGUACACUGAGAGCUUCAUCCAGUUGUUCUAAUUUGAUGGAAAGUCAGCUGAAGAGGAGCUAACCAGUUGCUGGGUCCAGAAUGCUGGGAAGACAGGAUAGAAAUCAACAGAGAGACAUCAGAACUAGAAUGACCAUAAUAGACCCUUUGUUCUCUGCUGCUUAAUAAUAGCAAGCUCGUUCCCACAGCUCUUUGUAGCUUGUGUGGUGCUUCCUGCAUGCAUCAUUCCAUUUAAGCAAUGGGACAACCUGGCCAAAUGGAUAGCAUUUUUGUUUCCAUUUUGCAGCCAAGUUACCAAGGCUUGGGGAUAUUUGCUAACUUGUGAUACUAGACUAGGAUUUGCACUGAGGUUCUCUGAUGUCUCAUUCUUCUGCUACUUUAUGUGUCCAAGUAGCCUCUCAUUGAGGAAGAAAAGAAGUAGCCUGUUUAUUUAGAAAUUAAUAGGUGUGUUUUUUCUGAAAUGUUCAGAAAGAAACCCAUGGUCCUUGCCAUCGCUCUGACAUUACCAGGUGCACUGGACCCCAAUGGUGGACUGGCCUUGAAGCUAAGGGAUAUUAAUGGCACAGCACAGCACAGCCAAUAGCUGAGCAAAUAGGGUGUGGUGCAGAUAGGUCUACUCUGACAUCAGAUUCUAUCAGCUGUGUGACCUUGGGUGAAUUACCUGCCUUCUUUAAGUCUCACUAUCCUGGGAGCAUUAAUAGUAGGUACCAGUAUAAGAUUGCUUUGAAAUAUAAAUGAAAUACAUAUGCAGUGCCAACCCUAGUGCCUGUCAAAUAGGAAACCUUUAAAAAUGAUGUUGCUACAUUUAACACUAUUUUUUCAACAGAAG